CGGAGGGUGCAAGCGUUAUCCGGAUUUAUUGGGUUUAAAGGGUCCGUAGGCGGAUCUGUAAGUCAGUGGUGAAAUCUCAUAGCUUAACUAUGAAACUGCCAUUGAUACUGCAGGUCUUGAGUAAAGUAGAAGUGGCUGGAAUAAGUGGUGUAGCGGUGAAAUGCAUAGAUAUUACUUAGAACACCAAUUGCGAAGGCAGGUCACUAUGUUUUAACUGACGCUGAUGGACGAAAGCGUGGGGAGCGAACAGGAUUAGAUACCCUGGUAGUCCACGCCGUAAACGAUGCUAACUUCGUUUUUGGGGCCUUGGCUUCAGAGACUAAGCGAAAGUGAUAAGUUAGCCACCUGGGGAGUACGUUCGCAAGAAUG
This 369-nucleotide ribosomal RNA is filed under the name uncultured organism. Its description in RNAcentral is "bacterial SSU rRNA". It matches the Rfam family "Bacterial small subunit ribosomal RNA", at positions 526 to 896 of the family's 1533-position model. The record is from RNAcentral.